RNAcentral lists this ribosomal RNA (161 nucleotides) under uncultured bacterium. Its description in RNAcentral is "partial 16S ribosomal RNA". It matches the Rfam family "Bacterial small subunit ribosomal RNA", at positions 355 to 509 of the family's 1533-position model. The record is from RNAcentral.
UAGGGAAUUUUCGUCAAUGGGCGCAAGCCUGAACGAGCGAUGCCGCGUGAGUGAAGAAGGCCUUCGGUCGUAAAGCUCUGUUGCGGGGGAAAAAAGGCAUCUGCAGGAAAUGGUAGAUGACAGAUGGUGCCCCACCAGAAAGUCACGGCUAACUACGUGCC